This 775-nucleotide ribosomal RNA is filed under the name uncultured Neocallimastigales. RNAcentral describes it as "partial large subunit ribosomal RNA". It matches the Rfam family "Eukaryotic large subunit ribosomal RNA", at positions 24 to 642 of the family's 3401-position model. The record is from RNAcentral. Lineage: Eukaryota; Fungi; Neocallimastigomycota; Neocallimastigomycetes; Neocallimastigales.
UACGACUACAUAUCAGGCAUAUCAAUAAGCGGAGGAAAAGAAACUAACUAGGAUUCCCUCAGUAACGGCGAGUGAAGCGGGAAGAGCUCAAAUUUGAAAUCUUAAAGGGUUUCCCUUGACGAAUUGUAGUUUAAAGAAGUGUUUUCUGUUGGAGUUUUGGUAAAAGUUCUUUGGAAUAGGACAUCAUAGAGGGUGAGAAUCCCGUAUUUGACCAUUAUUUUCAGCUGUGUGAUACACUUUCAAAGAGUCGGAUUGUUUGGGAAUGCAGUCCAAAAUGGGUGGUAAAUUUCAUCUAAAGCUAAAUAUUGGCGAGAGACCGAUUAGCGAACAAGUACCGUGAGGGAAAGAUGAAAAGAACUUUGAAAAGAGAGUUAAACAGUACGUGAAAUUGUCAGAAGGGAAGCGUUUGACACCAGUGUUGUUUCUCGAAAAUCAAUUAAAAAAAGUUGGAUUUUGUGUUGUAUUGACCUUAACAGCUUGCUUCACUCUUUUCCAGCUUUUUUUAAUGCACUUUUCGAUUAACAAGUCAACAUCAGUUUCUUUUGUUGUAAAAGGGUCAUUGGAAGGUGGCUUUCUCUUCGGAGAAAGUGUUUAUAGCCUUUGAUCUCUGCAAUCGGAGAGACUGAGGUCUGCAGCGUAGAUCCUUCGGGGUUAGAUACAUUUGUGCUAAGCUACUAGCUUUCAUAGACAACUUGUUGACUAUGAUUAGUCAUUGUAGCUUACUCGCUUAUGCUAUUUUACCUACGCUUAGGAUGUUGAGCGCAUGUCUCUCUCU